UACGUAGGGGGCAAGCGUUGUCCGGAUUUAUUGGGCGUAAAGAGCGUGUAGGCGGUUUGGUAGGUCCGCUGUGAAAACCCGAGGCUCAACCUCGAGACGCCGGUGGAAACCAUCAGACUAGAGUCCGGAAGAGGAGAGUGGAAUUCCUGGUGUAGCGGUGAAAUGCGCAGAUAUCAGGAAGAACACCCGUGGCUAAGGCGGCUCUCUAGUACGGUACUGACGCUGAGACGCGAAAGCGUGGGGAGCGAACAGG
This 253-nucleotide ribosomal RNA is filed under the name uncultured bacterium. Its description in RNAcentral is "partial 16S ribosomal RNA". It matches the Rfam family "Bacterial small subunit ribosomal RNA", at positions 524 to 776 of the family's 1533-position model. The record is from RNAcentral.